UAUGAAAAUCAAAAAUAAAAUAUAUUGAUAUCAAAAUAUGUUGUUUAAAAAAAAUUACAAUGAAAAAAGGAAAUAAAAAAAUGACUUUUUUAUAGACAAAAAUGGGUUAAAGUUAGGAAAAAUAAAACAAAUAUUGAAAAUAACGCAGAGCUAGUUUUGUUAGCAACAUGAAACUUAUUAGAUGGAUACAUGGCAAAAGAGCUAUGUUUUCUUUGAACAUUAUAGGAUGGGUUGAAGCACUCCAAAUGCAUGACUUUGAAUUAAAAUGGCAUAUAC
Molecule: long non-coding RNA, 276 nt
Filed under: Lathyrus oleraceus (garden pea)
Lineage: Eukaryota; Viridiplantae; Streptophyta; Magnoliopsida; Fabales; Fabaceae
Description: Pisum sativum (pea) long non-coding RNA (PSAT_LNC041290)
Source: RNAcentral